GUUAGGAAUAUUGGACAAUGGGCGCAAGCCUGAUCCAGCCAUGCCGCGUGAGUGAUGAAGGCCUUCGGGUUGUAAAGCUCUUUAGCCGAUGAUUAUAAUGACUGUAGUCGGAAAAUAAGCCCCGGCUAACUUCGUGCCAGCAGCCGCGGUAAUACGAAGGGGGCGAGCGUUAUUCGGAAUCACUGGGCGUAAAGCGUGCGUAGGCGUCUUUGCAAGUUUGGAGUGAAAGCCCAGGGCUCAACCCUGGAAUUGCUCUCGAAACUGCAAGGCUCGAAUUCGGGAGAGGAUAGCGGAAUUGUCAGUGUAGCAGUGAAAUGCGUAGAUAUUGACAGGAACACCAGUGGCGUAAGCGGCUAUCUGGACCGAUAUUGACGCUGAGGCACGAAGGCGUGGGGAUCAAACAGGAUUAGAAACCCCAGUAGUCC
Molecule: ribosomal RNA, 425 nt
Filed under: uncultured bacterium
Lineage: Bacteria
Description: partial 16S ribosomal RNA
Rfam family: Bacterial small subunit ribosomal RNA
Source: RNAcentral